Suncus etruscus (white-toothed pygmy shrew) is the source of this 131-nucleotide small nucleolar RNA. The record is from RefSeq and is a predicted model, not a curated record. NCBI's taxonomy places the organism in Eukaryota, Metazoa, Chordata, Mammalia, Eulipotyphla, Soricidae.
AUCCUUUUAAAAGCACUCACUGGCCCUUUUACUAGUGACCCACUGAGCCAUCAAGAAAGGGUAAAGACAUUGCUUUGGGGUGAAUUUGCAAUGUGUUGUGUUGUUUGGCUAAAAUCAGCACUAUUACAAGG